This is a long non-coding RNA of Macaca fascicularis (crab-eating macaque), 1797 nucleotides long. Lineage: Eukaryota; Metazoa; Chordata; Mammalia; Primates; Cercopithecidae. The record is from Ensembl.
UUUUUUUUUGAUGUACCACUUUAAAAACAAAGUCAAAAGAAACAACUGUAGACAUCAAACUGGUAGAGUCAAUUUGAGACCCUUCCCUUAGAGACCAGAACCUGGUGUAACUUUCUCUUAACAAAGGUUAAUAGCCAGUGGAGGUCAGGGUGGGAACUCACUGAAUCCGCAUCACACAGAAUCAGGUACCUCUCACAUUCACGAAAGUGAAUUAUUUUUAAUCAGUUGUGCUGACAGUAUGCCUCUUGCAAAAAGAACUAGCCCUAGAGGCCGGGCGCGGUGGCUCACGCCUGUAAUCUCAGCACUUUGGGAGGCCGAGGUGCGCGGAUCACGAGGUCAGGAGAUCGAGACCUUCCUGGCUAACAUGGUGAAACCCCAUCUCUACUAAAAAUACAAAAAAAAAGUUAGCCGGGCAUCGUGGCGGGAGCCUGUAGUCCCAGCUACUCGGGAGGCUGAGGCAGGAGAAUGGCCUGAACCUGGGAGGCAGAGCUUGCAGUGAGCCAAGAUCUUGCUACUGCACUCCAGUCUGGGCGACAGAGUGAGACUCAAGUCUCAAAAAAAAAUAAAAUAAAAUAAAAAAUAAAAAAAACCUAGCCCUAUAUUCUUUCCUAGCUAUCAAGAUGGAAAACAACCACAUCAUUAAUUCAGAGGAGGGGUAAACCAAGUUAAUCAGACUCCAAGACCCAUACUAAUUGCUGACCAAGUAAUGCCACAAUAUUUCAUGGCUAAGGAUCUCCGACUUGUUCCAGUCCCUAAAAAUCUGUUCCGCACAGUUAAUAUUUCACAAAACCAAAAGGGCUUAGUUGCAAUCACAAAGAGCUAGAAAUCAGGAGACUCGUGGUUUCUAUUGAGUUCUGUCAUUAUCUGUCUAAUAAGAUAAAUAAGUCACUUUUCUGUAUCUCAGUCUCCACAUUUGUGAAGUGAGGGAAGAGAAACAUGUCCUAAAAACCAAGCAGGGGCUCUGGAAAGAAAAAGAGCUAAGAAUGGUGGGUUUUUAUUAAAAGUUACACAAGUUAAUGGUUUUUGUCUCCAUUUAUCUGAAAGUGGGUUAAAAAUAGCUUCCAAAUAAAGCAAAAAGAAUUUAUUUAGACUAAACUGCACCGGAGAAGUAGAGGAAUUAAGAGAUAGGACAAGCAAAGAUGGGAUGUUUCAGUGGAAGAAUUUCAGGGAGUAAAAAGGCUAUGCUGUAAAACCAGAACUUUUGUUAGCACUGCUUUUUUAAGAUGAAUUGGUCAUAGUUAAUGUAUUGGAUGGAAGAAUUUUUAAACAUCUGCCCCCAAAGUACGCUGCAUCCAAAAAAAUAUAUAACGAAACGAAUUCUUACUCAUUUGUGUUUAUUCUUGGACUUAUCCUGACAUAAUGGGGUUUUUAAAAUUAUAGACUCAUACUGCGUUUAUUCAUCGCCCCUGUCCUCUCAUCCAUAACUCAAAUUUACUACCAGCAACACAAAAUACAAAGAUGUGUCCAGUUUCACUACAGCUCUUCGCGUUUACAAGUAUCGAGCGCUUGCUUUCGGAACGCCCUUCUGAUUGGCCGAGCCAAUGCCAGUGACAUCAACCAACUUACUUUUGAUUGGAAGGCUGGUUGCUGGGACUGUAGCGUUUGCAGGAAGUCACUUAACUGUUUGGGAGCUGGAAAACCGAAGCUGAAGUUCUCUUUUGCCAUAGGAACGAGCGCAACUGACUAGGGAAGAUGUGUCCCAGAGCUCCGCAAGCUGGAACGUGAGCCAGGAGGCCCGGACCGACCACGGGACCGCGAGGCACUCCGAAAGUGUGCGGCUGCUCCUUCCCUGCCUCC